GCUCUUUUCUCGGGACGGGAGAGGCCGUGUAGCGUCGCCGUUACUGCGAGGAGAGACCAGUCGGUAGAGGGAAGAGCGCAGGCGCCGUGAAGAAGAGAUGCGGCGGCAGCAAGAAGAAAUGAUGCGGCGACAGCAGGAAGGAUUCAAGGGAACCUUCCCUGAUGCGAGAGAGCAGGAGAUUCGGAUGGGUCAGAUGGCUAUGGGAGGUGCUAUGGGCAUAAACAACAGAGGUGCCAUGCCCCCUGCUCCUGUGCCAGCUGGUACCCCAGCUCCUCCAGGACCUGCCACUAUGAUGCCAGAUGGAACUUUGGGAUUGACCCCACCAACAACUGAACGCUUUGGUCAGGCUGCUACAAUGGAAGGAAUUGGGGCAAUUGGUGGAACUCCUCCUGCAUUCAACCGUGCAGCUCCUGGAGCUGAAUUUGCCCCAAACAAACGUCGCCGAUACUAAUAAGUUGCAGUGUCUAGUUUCUCAAAACCCUUAAAAGAAGGACCCUUUUUGGACUAGCCAGAAUUCUACCCUGGAAAAAUGUUAGGGAUUCCUUCCAAUAGUUAGAUCUACCCUGCCUGUACUACUCUAGGGAGUAUGCUGGAGGCAGAGAGGGCAAGGGAGGGGUGGUAUUAAACAAGUCAAUUCUGUGUGGUA
Molecule: small RNA, 646 nt
Filed under: Pongo abelii (Sumatran orangutan)
Lineage: Eukaryota; Metazoa; Chordata; Mammalia; Primates; Hominidae
Description: processed transcript
Source: RNAcentral